Long non-coding RNA from Meriones unguiculatus (Mongolian gerbil), 3335 nucleotides. RefSeq lists it as uncharacterized. NCBI's taxonomy places the organism in Eukaryota, Metazoa, Chordata, Mammalia, Rodentia, Muridae. The record is from RefSeq and is a predicted model, not a curated record. The transcript is spliced from 3 exons.
CUGACUUUGUAUUGGGCAUACUGCAGCCUCACCUUUCCAAGGGAUGCAGGCACCACCUGCCCUGUUUUAGUCUAUUGUUUUACAAGUUUUUAAGGCAAAGAUGUAUUUCUUUUAUGCAUAAGAAGUUUUUGGCUUGCCUGCAUCUACACACACCACAUGUGUGCCUGUGAAGGUGAGAAGAAACUGUAGGAUCCCUUGAAACUGGAUAGAUAGAUGUGAGCUGUCCCGUGGGUGCUGGGAACUGAACCUGCAUCCUUCGAAAGAGAUCUUAACUGCUGAGCCAUCUCCCAGCCCCCCCCCUACCACCUUUUACAACUCCUCUUCUCAAAUUUCCCUUAUUUAACCUUCUCAGUAUAGUUAUGGGAAAUGAUUGAGGCUGCAUGUUGACAGAGUAGUCCAUCUAUUCACCACUUAGCUGAACAAUAAGGCCUACGGUCUCAUUGUCUUUUGUGUGAUUUUGAAUGUUCUGGUGGCCUGGGGCUAUAAACCAACAGUGGAGUACGGAAUGCACAAGGCUCUGGGUUCAAUUUCCCGCACUACAACACCAAUUCUUUUCUUUUCCUUUCUAUUCUGAAACUGCGCCAUCUUAAAGUUUGUUCAAUUUUCUCUAUGACUGUUAAGUAUUUCUCUUCUACAUCCCUUACUUUUAAAAAUUAAAUAUCUAUUAACUAGCAGGGAUGAAUGGAUGCUGUGUCUUGAAGGUCAUCUGGAGAACAGUUUGAAGAAAAGAGGGUGACCCAAUGUAUUUUGUGUGAGCCAAGGGAGCCACGGCUGAGAAUUGUUUGGACAAUUGAUUUGGGACCAGAGAAAUGUGGAGAAGAAUGUAGGCCAGAGGAAGGGAUUUGAGGUGGGCAGCCUCCAGAGUGGACCCCAGGAACCACUCACCUCCUGGCCUUCAUGGUUCUGCACAGGCUCCUUUCUCGUUGUAUGAAGUUUUUCUCCUGUCACUUGCUUCUCACAACUGUCCCAGAGACCCAGCAAUCUAAGUUGAGUAAGACCUUGAUGAUUGUUCGAUAAAGAAACCCAAGGGAGACACCAAGGAUGCAGAGAGAUGGCAAGCCAAAGGUGUGGAGCCUCAGGAAGCUCAGCAUGAGGCCUUCCACCGCAAAGCCAGAGCAAGAAGUUAGAAAUCUCUGCAGGGGCACCAAAUGAUCUCCAGGGCCCUAGCCCUGCAUGAAGGCAUUGUAUCUUCCCUUGGGCUGUACCGCAGCAGUGUGUCAAGGCUAGGGACACACACUUUGUGUAUUUAGUUUCAUAGGCCCAGAGAUGGGGGAGACUUUUAAGACAUGAAUUUUCAUAACCCGGAGCCUCAUGAUCAUGUGAUUUGGAUUAUAAACACUUAGGCUUUGAAAUAACAAAGUCUUUUUUUUAUUGUGGUUGACAACGCAACGCGGCAUCUGUUUGCUCCACGGAUUUUAAAUGUACAGUUCCCCGUUGAUCGCUGCAGGAGCCUCACCGUGGGACAGAGCUCUAGAACUCACUUAUCUGAAGGAAACUCUCAAGCGAGCAGUGUGAGCACAAAGACGUGCAACACCACGGACCAGCAGGGAGUGCAGAUCAAAAUCACAACAUGGUGCACCGUCAGGUCUGGGGAGGUGUCUCAGGAGUAACGCGCUUGCUACACAAGCGUGAAGAUCUAGUUCCAGAUCCCGAUGCCCACAUAAAAAGCUGGACAAGGUAGAGAGCCAGGAGCGGGGUGUGAUGGCUCACGCCUAUAAUCCCAGCACUCAGGAGGCAGAGGCAGGUGGAUCUCUGUGAGUUCGAGGCCAGCCUGGUCCCCAAAGUGAGUCCAGGACAGCCACGGCUACAUGAAAAACAAAAACAAAACAAAACAAAACAAAAAAAGUAGAGUGAAGGGAGACAGAAAUGGGAGGAUCUCUGUGGCUUACUGGCUGGUCAGUCUGACCAAAUACACAAGCUCCAGGUUCAGAGAGAACGGUUCAAAAACCGAUAGGAAAGCAACAGAGGAAGAAACACCAUGUCUAUCCCCGGCCGCCAUCUACAUACCCAUACCCAGGAGCUAGAAUUUCACCCCCUGUCAGAGAGCUGCUUUUACAAAUGCACAUGCUUAUAAUAGUAGCACUUAGAAGUCUUGAGACAGGAAAGCCCAGAAUUCGAGGCCAAGGUAGGCUCCACAGGGAGUUCAAGAUCAGCUUAUAAUAAACCAAGACCCUAUCAGAAAGGACAAAAGAAAAGUUACACACAAGGAUCUAUCCCCAGUGUGACAUUCUUUUCCUGCUGCUGACCUGGAUGUGGAACUCUCAGCUUCUUGCCCAGCGUGGUGUCUGCUUCUGUGCCACCAUGCUUCCAACCAUGAUGAUAAUGGACUAAACCUUUGAACUUGUAAGCCAGCUCCAAUGGAAUAUUUCCUUUUAUAAGAGUUACUGUGGUCAUGAUGUCUCUUUAUAGCAAUGGAAACCCUAACUAAGACAAAACCCCAUGUGUGCAUUCAUUUAUACUCAGUAAAUGUCUCUAGCUGAUGCUCAUGGAUUUCUAAUAAAUGCCACUAGAGUUUUAUGAUUACUUCCUACAAAACAGUAUUUUGCAGUAUGUACCUGGCACACAUGCUUAGUUCCUUGGAUUUUUGUACCUUUGACCUGCUCUUGGAAGGAAGAGAAUGUGGUCCAUAACUCUCCUGCUGUUGUUUAGACUAGUCGAAUUCUGGAGUCCUGAGAAACAUCCACAGAAGCACAUGAGUUCUCUAACUGGUCACAUUGAAGAUCUCAUUAGACGUGGAUGAAGAGAGAAGCAGCUUUGUCCUUUUUCUUUGUGGGAAGGUUUGUGUCAAUGCCUUCAACAAAGUUUUCUCUCGAGUCCUCUGUAUCUCUUCAACUAUGCAGUGCCCCCUCACUUGUUCCAUUUAGGAAAGGAUUUUGACAGAACCUUUGAAAGUUCACAUGAUGAUUUGACAACCUAUUUCAUAAUGUGUUGUGAUAGCUUUAUUUGAAACGUCUGCUUCCUUACCUAAUGACACUUUGACUGACAUUUCUCUCCUCUACCAGAGUCAGACCCCAGUCUUGCUCAAGCUUUGAACAUGAGCACCAAGGACAGUGCCCAACCCACAGGAUGAUCUGCUUGCACUUGAUUCACUAAAUGAUGUUUGUGAAACCAUUGUAACUUAGGUCAUGAAUACUAAGUAUAAAUUUCUUUCAGUUCUCAUUUAGAUGGGUUGUCUCCAACAAACCUUUUAAGAAAAGCCACAUUAAACAGCCUUUUCCAGAAAUGCUCAGAAAGGUGGAAUCCAAAUUGGUUUUCACAGUUGUUGCCUGGCAAAGAACACAAGGUAAUUACCACACAGGAAUAAGACUUCUCUAAUAAAGUUUACCUAAAAAUCU